This 128-nucleotide small RNA is filed under the name Marmota monax (woodchuck). The record is from RNAcentral. Lineage: Eukaryota; Metazoa; Chordata; Mammalia; Rodentia; Sciuridae.
GUUGGGCAUAGUGGCGCAUGCCUGCAAUCCCAGUAACUCUGGAGGCUGAGACAGGAGGAUUGCAAGUUCCAGGCCAGCCUGGGCAACUUAGCAAGUCUGUAAGCAACUUAACAAGGCCCCUGUCUCAA